CCUACGGGUGGCAGCAGUGGGGAAUCUUGCGCAAUGGGCGAAAGUCUGACGGAGCGACGCCGCGUGAGGGAUGAAGGUCUUCGGCUCGUAAAGCUCUGUCAGCAGGGAAGAACGGUCGCUGUGCUAAUCAGCCGUGAGUUGACGGUACCUGCUAAGGAAGCAACGGCUAACUCCGUGCCAGCAGCCGCGGUAAUACGGAGGUGGCGAGCGUUAAUCGGAAUUACUGGGCGUAAAGCGCUCGUAGGCGGUAUGUCAAGUCAAAGGUGAAAUCCCCGGGCUCAACGUGGGAACUGCCUUUGAAACUGUCAAACUGGAGUGUGGAAGAGGAGAGUGGAACUCCAGGUGUAGCAGUGAAAUCCGUAGAUAUCUGGAGGAACACCAGUGGCGAAGGCGACUAUCUGGCACAUAACUGACGCUGAGGAGCGAAAGCGUGGGUAGCGAACAGGAUUAGAUACCCGUGUAGUC
RNAcentral lists this ribosomal RNA (465 nucleotides) under uncultured bacterium. Its description in RNAcentral is "partial 16S ribosomal RNA". It matches the Rfam family "Bacterial small subunit ribosomal RNA", at positions 338 to 795 of the family's 1533-position model. The record is from RNAcentral.